This is a non-coding RNA of Nothobranchius furzeri (turquoise killifish), 1401 nucleotides long. Lineage: Eukaryota; Metazoa; Chordata; Actinopteri; Cyprinodontiformes; Nothobranchiidae. The record is from RefSeq and is a predicted model, not a curated record.
UCGCUGCAUAACGUGUCUUUAUCUCAUGUCUCAAAACUUUAUUUGUUUUCGUUUAUUCCAGUAAAUUUAAUAAGGAUCACAUCUGGGUGGACCCCUCAUCUCUACUGACAGCCACAGAGAGCCUGUCUGUGACCUCCUGAUGCCCCAGAGACUCCAGCCUCAGCCUGAUGAUAUGAACUUCAUGCCAAAGCAGGGCCAUGAGAACACAAAGAAGUGCUGCUCCGGUGUCCUGACCCUGGACACCUGCAGUCCUACAGAGAAAAUCAGAGACCACAGGUGACAAAAAAGGCAAACACAUUUUUACAUUUAUCCACAUGAGAAUAUAACUUUUGUUCUUCACACAAACUUUUUACUUCAUUAUAACGUGUCAGCUGUGUAAACCCCUGAAUGUAAAACUACUUUUCACAGAAGAACUUCUGUGGUUGUGUUUAAACAGCUUCUCUCUUCACCUCUAAACUUAAUAAAAACGCUUCUUUGCUCCGUUGUCCUUAAAACAAAUGACAAGUUAAAUUCGACAGACACACACACACACACACACACACACACACGAACACACAACUGGGACCUGCAAAACAAACUCGUUCUGGCUGAUUUCUGCCUAAAAUGUAAUUUCAAAAACAAAUAUACAAGCGAAAAAUGUCUAUAAACUUAACCGCUUUAAGCUUUUUAGGUUUCUACGGCUAGUUUUUAACAAAUUUAUGUUUAAAACUUCGUAGCUCUCCCCAAUUUCUCUUCCUGUUGAAAACCAUAGCCGGUGCGCAAAGCAUGCUGGGAUAGCCUUGUUCUGUGAGGAUACAACAGACCAGUCUUGAAAUUCGGACAGUACUCGUCGCUGCGCUGUGACAUCAUCAACCUCAAAAUGCACUCCUACAAGCAUCCUUCCCGUGGAUUCGGACACACCCUUAAUGCAGGGCGGGCAUGAAAAAGACAAAUCAGUUCCUCUUUCUUUAUCCUUUUCAUUAAGUCACAGAAUAAGCAAUGAUGAAGAAGAAAAUUAUAAAGCAGUUUGGAAGAUUGCUUUUUAAUUUUAUUUAUGAGUCAAAUCUGGUAGUGUUGAUAUGAAAAUGAAAUAUUAUUUCUGCUACUGCAUAAUAAAAUGAAUUUUUUCCACAUACGCUUCCAUAGUUCUACGCAGAUUAGAUCAGUGGUGAUCGGCGAGCAGUGCAUGCCGGUUAGAUUUGUGUCCGACUUGACGCCGACUUGCUCUGACGUCAUGCAUACGUAGGCAACGAUAACCUCGUGAGAUCAAGGCGGCCGCAGAUUUUGGAGCAAGGCACUACAGUUGCUCUCCAUCGGCUGCAAAACCUAGAGGAUGACGGGAAACGCCUGGCUCUCACCUGAUCUAAGAUCUGAUUGGUUCACAUUUUGAUCCAAACAUCCGGUGGUUGAAUGCAAAAUGUU